Long non-coding RNA from Oncorhynchus tshawytscha (Chinook salmon), 1086 nucleotides. NCBI's taxonomy places the organism in Eukaryota, Metazoa, Chordata, Actinopteri, Salmoniformes, Salmonidae. The record is from Ensembl.
UUUCUGUGUACAAAACAUGAGAUUACAUCUCCUCAUCCAGGGAGUACACACACACACACACUCACACACACACACACACACACGCACACAAACACGCACACACACACGGAGGGAAUGUUGUGUUUGUUUAAUAUUGUUUUAGGACUAUGAAAUUGGAUAAAAGGAUGAGCCUAUGGAUUAUGAAAACAACAACAAUAAAUGGGGAAAUGGGAGAAGAGAAAUGACUAGAGACAGUGUUGUUUAACUCACUGUUGCUUCAUAGACCGGUCACUCUUCAUGGACACACAGCUGGGAACAGGGGAGGCUGGUCUCUCCUGCUUGAUUGGACUUCAACACAACAGAGACAAACAUUACAUCUCUCAUCUACUCUGAUCUCAGAUGGGGAAACGAACUUCAUUCCAAAAAGCUAUUUAUCAAUUUUCAGAAAUGUUCAUAAAUUAGCUUUUAUUGUUUAAAGAAGUUGAAAUGAAAUGAAAUGAAACGAAAUGAUGAGAUGGCACGUGGGUACCUGCUUCUAUAAACCAAUGAGGAGAUGGCACGUGGGUACCUGCUUCUAUAAACCAAUGAGGAGAUGGCACGUGGGUACCUGCUUCUAUAAACCAAUGAGGAGAUGCAGCGCGAACUGCGUCACAAAUAGAACUGACUUCUAGACGCUCGUUGACGCGAAUAAUGAGACUAUAAGGAGAACCAGUACUGAGUAAAUGUGCAGGGUACCAGGUAGUUGAGGUAAUAAUGAGACUAUAAGGAGUACCAGUACUGAGUCAAUGUGCAGGGUACCAGGUAGUUGAGGUAAUAAUGAGACUAUAAGGAGUACCAGUACUGAGUCAAUGUGCAGGGUACCAGGUAGUUGAGGUAAUAAUGAGACUAUAAGGAGUACCAGUACUGAGUCAAUGUGCAGGGUACCAGUACUGAGUCAAUGUGCAGGGUACCAGGUAGUUGAGGUAAUAAUGAGACUAUAAGGAGUACCAGUACUGAGUCAAUGUGCAGGGUACCAGGUAGUUGAGGUAAUAUCCACAUGUAGGUAGGGGUAUAAGUGACUAGGCAAUCAGAAUAGAGAUUACAUCUCCUCAUCCAGGGAGUUCAGAC